RNAcentral lists this ribosomal RNA (381 nucleotides) under Triticum aestivum (bread wheat). Its description in RNAcentral is "partial small subunit ribosomal RNA". The record is from RNAcentral. Lineage: Eukaryota; Viridiplantae; Streptophyta; Magnoliopsida; Poales; Poaceae.
AUGUGGAUGAGAUACCUAGAGUUGCAGAGGCAGUUUUGGGCACACAUUUUUUUGAUUUCUUCUUUGAGAUCGAUAAGGUACUGGUUAGAGAUCCAGAGAGGGAGAGCAAGAGUGCUCAGGUUGAUACUGCUAAGAAAAAUUCAUAUGUUGACAAGCAAAAUGCUCAGACAUAUCCUAAAUCCAAUGAAAAAGAGAAAGGAGCUGGGUCCAGUAGGUAUAUGGAACUGGGAAAAAAAUGCUCCUGUUGAUUCUUUAGAAGAUGGACAAGAGGAAUCAGAAGAGGCUGAGGAUAAGACCUUGUUGAUUGAUACCAUUGCUGAUGAGGCAUGUAAAAAAGAGGACCUGUGUAAAUCCAUCACAAUUUCUGCUGCAUCUAAGUAG